Molecule: ribosomal RNA, 253 nt
Filed under: uncultured bacterium
Lineage: Bacteria
Description: partial 16S ribosomal RNA
Rfam family: Bacterial small subunit ribosomal RNA
Source: RNAcentral
UACGUAGGGGGCAAGCGUUGUCCGGAUUUAUUGGGCGUAAAGAGCGUGUAGGCGGCCAGGUAGGUCGGGUGUGAAAACUCGAGGCUCAACCUCGAGAUGUCGACCGAAACCAUCUGGCUAGAGUCCGGAAGAGGAGAAUGGAAUUCCCGGUGUAGCGGUGAAAUGCGCAGAUAUCGGGAAGAACACCCGUGGCGAAGGCGGUUCUCUGGGACGGUACUGACGCUGAGACGCGAAAGCGUGGGGAGCGAACAGG